ACCCCAAGAACACCGUCCCCGGGUACGGUGUCCCCGGACACCCCGAUGUCAAGCAAGGUGGGUCCCGGGAGGCAGUUCGCAACCCCGCCAAUGGCGAGGUCAGAGCUGUUCGACACCAAAGACAGCGUUGGCGCACCCCACAGGUUUCGGCGCAUGGGGGAUCUCCUUGGCGAGGCUGCGGCAACACCGCAACACCCCGAGGAUGAGGACGCUGAUGACGACGAGGUCCUGCAUCUGAUGGCCAGCGAGGAGCCGACCACAUUCACGGAGGCCGAGCAAGAGGAUUGCUGGCGCCACGCGAUGCUGGACGAGAUGGCGUCGAUCAAUGACAACACCACUUGGACACUCACCACACUGCCUGCUGGGCACCUAGCCAUCGGGAUCAAGUGGGUGUUCAAGCUGACGAAGGACGAGCACGGUGCCAUUGUCAAGCACAAGGCGUGCCUCGGCGCAAAGGGCUAUGUGCAGCGUGAGGGAGUGGACUUUGAGGAAGUCUUCACUCCGGUGGCAAGGCUGGAGUCCGUGCGGCUCAUCCUUGCCGUGGCUGCUCACCGCGGGUGGGAGGUACACCACAUGGAUGUCAAGUCGGCGUUUCUCAAC
Molecule: ribosomal RNA, 600 nt
Filed under: Triticum aestivum (bread wheat)
Lineage: Eukaryota; Viridiplantae; Streptophyta; Magnoliopsida; Poales; Poaceae
Description: partial small subunit ribosomal RNA
Source: RNAcentral